GACGAACUUUGGCGGCGUGCUUAACACAUGCAAGUCGAACGGAAAGGCCCUGCUUUUGUGGGGUGCUCGAGUGGCGAACGGGUGAGUAACACGUGAGUAACCUGCCCUUGACUUUGGGAUAACUUCAGGAAACUGGGGCUAAUACCGGAUAGGAGCUCCUGCUGCAUGGUGGGGGUUGGAAAGUUUCGGCGGUUGGGGAUGGACUCGCGGCUUAUCAGCUUGUUGGUGGGGUAGUGGCUUACCAAGGCUUUGACGGGUAGCCGGCCUGAGAGGGUGACCGGCCACAUUGGGACUGAGAUACGGCCCAGACUCCUACGGGAGGCAGCAGUGGGGAAUAUUGCACAAUGGGCGGAAGCCUGAUGCAGCAACGCCGCGUGCGGGAUGACGGCCUUCGGGUUGUAAACCGCUUUCGCCUGUGACGAAGCGUGAGUGACGGUAAUGGGUAAAGAAGCACCGGCUAACUACGUGCCAGCAGCCGCGGUGAUACGUAGGGUGCGAGCGUUGUCCGGAUUUAUUGGGCGUAAAGGGCUCGUAGGUGGUUGAUCGCGUCGGAAGUGUAAUCUUGGGGCUUAACCCUGAGCGUGCUUUCGAUACGGGUUGACUUGAGGAAGGUAGGGGAGAAUGGAAUUCCUGGUGGAGCGGUGGAAUGCGCAAAUAUCAGGAGGAACACCAGUGGCGAAGGCGGUUCUCUGGGCCUUUCCUGACGCUGAGGAGCGAAAGCGUGGGGAGCGAACAGGCUUAGAUACCCUGGUAGUCCACGCUGUAAACGGUGGGUACUAGGUGUGGGGUCCAUUCCACGGGUUCCGUGCCGUAGCUAACGCUUUAAGUACCCCGCCUGGGGAGUACGGCCGCAGGGCUAAAACUCAAAGGAAUUGACGGGGCCCCGCACAAGCGGCGGAGCAUGCGGAUUAAUUCGAUGCAACGCGUAGAACCUUACCUGGGUUUGACAUGGAUCGGGAGUGCUCAGAGAUGGGUGUGCCUCUUUUGGGGUCGGUUCACAGGUGGUGCAUGGCUGUCGUCAGCUCGUGUCGUGAGAUGUUGGGUUAAGUCCCGCAACGAGCGCAACCCUUGUUCACUGUUGCCAGCACGUUAUGGUGGGGACUCAGUGGAGACCGCCGGGGUCAACUCGGAGGAAGGUGGGGAUGACGUCAAGUCAUCAUGCCCCUUAUGUCCAGGGCUUCACGCAUGCUACAAUGGCUGGUACAGAGAGUGGCGAGCCUGUGAGGGUGAGCGAAUCUCGGAAAGCCGGUCUCAGUUCGGAUUGGGGUCUGCAACUCGACCUCAUGAAGUCGGAGUCGCUAGUAAUCGCAGAUCAGCAACGCUGCGGUGAAUACGUUCCCGGGGCU
This 1346-nucleotide ribosomal RNA is filed under the name uncultured bacterium. RNAcentral describes it as "partial 16S ribosomal RNA". It matches the Rfam family "Bacterial small subunit ribosomal RNA", at positions 28 to 1381 of the family's 1533-position model. The record is from RNAcentral.